RNAcentral lists this long non-coding RNA (1268 nucleotides) under Heterocephalus glaber (naked mole-rat). Its description in RNAcentral is "lncRNA (ENSHGLG00100051337.1)". Lineage: Eukaryota; Metazoa; Chordata; Mammalia; Rodentia; Bathyergidae. The record is from RNAcentral.
AUUCCGAACAAAGCACAGACCCCACCUGCAGCUUUCUCCUCUGCACAGCAGUACAGGAACAAAUGCAAAACACACUUCACUUCAGGUACAAAAACAAUAUGGUAGUGUGACAACUUAGGUCUCAAUGGCCACCUCCCCAUGAUCUGUCAGCACUCACCUGGACCACAACCCUUAGGAAAAAGUCAGCCAAUCUAGAGAAAGGUGGGCAGGAUACACCUGAAGAAGGAAAUCACUUCAAAUACAAAAACAUUAGAGGACACAAUAACCAGUGCUCACUUUGGCAGCAUAUAUACUAAAAAAGCCUGACUUCUCCGUGUAGACUUCCUCACUGCAAACCUAGGCUAUGGGGGACUUGUCCCAUGGAGCUGGAGGGAGAAGCCAGGGACAGCUGAGCAGAAGCAGGGGACACAAAUCCAGUCCGCAGUGGGGAGCAGUCAGCAGCAGCUGCUGCUACCCGUACUACUAAUGGAGGAUAGAGUCACAUUGCUGCAGUAGGCACUUGAGAGCAACCUGAGGAGUCCACGGGGGUUGGACAAGCCAUAGGGGGCAGGGCCACACCAUCUAGACAUAUCCCUCAGUACCAAGGGCUUCCACUUUCAAGGGAAGCCCCAUCCCAGGGAAGCCAGGGAGCCACCCACAAGUCACAUAGCAGGACACCUGGGGAGGGGUCUGCAGGCCCCAGCGAAGCUAAAAGGCCUUCUGUGUGCCCACCAGGAGGACAGGAGGUCAGAAGCUUUCAAGGAUGGCUCCUAGGCACACAGAAAGCGAGCCACAAAGGCAAGGGGAGUUCAGAAAACUGCUCAUUCUAAUGUAUCUCCUGCUUUUGAGCUCACUCGAAAUGUUUUUAUUAUGUAAGGCAGACCCUAAUAUUUGGGACGUUUUCUUUAAAUAAUUCAACAGGGCUAGAAGGUGACAGAGGUCUUGCUUAGUGGUUGCCAAUGUUUUCUGUCCAAGGUUAGAGUAAAUAUUUUAGGCUUUAAGAGCCAAGAGGCAAAGCUGAUAAUUUUAUUGGCACAAGAGAAAACAAAUUCCCACAAUUUUGUUGUCUUGUUUUUCAGAGGAUAGAACCCAAGGCCUCACUCAUGCCAGGCAAGCACUCUGCCACUGAACUACAGCCCCGGUCUCUACAAUUUAACAGAUGCAAGUUAAAGCGGAAUAACUAUGUCUUUUUGGUAAAACAGGUCUACCAAUGAGAAGAUUGUAAUUGUUUUUAGCAGGUAUGGGGGUGGAUAUCAUUUUCCUUACCCAGAUUCAAAGACAAUUUUCUC